AGAGUGAACGCUGGCGGCAUGCCUAACACAUGCAAGUCGAACGGUAACAGGCCCGCAAGGGUGCUGACGAGUGGCGGACGGGUGAGGAAUACAUCGGAAUCUGCCCGGUUGUGGGGGAUAACGUAGGGAAACUUACGCUAAUACCGCAUACGACCGAAAGGUGAAAGCGUGGGAUCCGCAAGGACCUCGCGCAGCCGGAUGAGCCGAUGUCGGAUUAGCUAGUUGGCGGGGUAAAAGCCCACCAAGGCGACGAUCCGUAGCUGGUCUAAGAGGAUGAUCAGCCACACUGGGACUGAGACACGGCCCAGACUCCUACGGGAGGCAGCAGUGGGGAAUAUUGGACAAUGGGGGCAACCCUGAUCCAGCAAUGCCGCGUGUGUGAAGAAGGCCUUCGGGUUGUAAACCUCUUUUGACGAGGAAGAAUACAAUGACGGUACUCGUCGAAUAAGCCCCGCUAACUCCGUGCCAGCAGCCGC
This 476-nucleotide ribosomal RNA is filed under the name uncultured bacterium. RNAcentral's name for it is "SSU rRNA". It matches the Rfam family "Bacterial small subunit ribosomal RNA", at positions 26 to 518 of the family's 1533-position model. The record is from RNAcentral.